This 452-nucleotide ribosomal RNA is filed under the name uncultured bacterium. RNAcentral describes it as "SSU rRNA". It matches the Rfam family "Bacterial small subunit ribosomal RNA", at positions 26 to 518 of the family's 1533-position model. The record is from RNAcentral.
AGAGCGAACGCUGGCGGCAUGCUUAACACAUGCAAGUCGCACGGGCAGGGGCGAACUCUGUCAGUGGCGGACGGGUGAGUAACGCGUAGGUAUCUAUCUCUGGGUGGGGGAUAACCGUGGGAAACUACGGCUAAUACCGCAUGACACCUGAGGGUCAAAGGCGCGAGCCGCCUGGAGAGGAGCCUGCGUUCGAUUAGCUAGUUGGUGGGGUAAAGGCCUACCAAGGCGACGAUCGAUAGCUGGUCUGAGAGGAUGAUCAGCCACAUUGGGACUGAGACACGGCCCAAACUCCUACGGGAGGCAGCAGUGGGGAAUAUUGGACAAUGGGCGCAAGCCUGAUCCAGCAAUGCCGCGUGGUGAAGAAGGUUUUCGGAUUGUAAAGCCCUUUUGGCGGGGACGAUGAUGACGGUACCCGCAGAAUAAGCCCCGGCUAACUUCGUGCCAGCAGCCGC